This 286-nucleotide unclassified non-coding RNA is filed under the name plant metagenome. Its description in RNAcentral is "partial contains small subunit ribosomal RNA, internal transcribed spacer 1, and 5.8S ribosomal RNA". The stretch from base 1 to 55 matches the Rfam family "Eukaryotic small subunit ribosomal RNA", at positions 1778 to 1831 of the family's 1831-position model. The record is from RNAcentral.
GGAAGUAAAAGUUCGUAACAAAGUUUCCGUAGGUGAACCUGCGGAAGGAUCAUUAUUGUAUAACCGAGGUGCGAGGGCUGUCGCUGACCCGAAAGGUCGUGCACGCCCGAGUGUCCUCACACACAUCCAUCUCACCCCUAUGUGCACCACCGCGUGGGUCCCCCUUUGGCUUGUUCGGAGGGGGGCUUACGUUUUCACACAAACUUUGUAUGCAGUGUAGAAUGUAUUUUUUGUUUUUGCGAUCACGCAAUCAAUACAACUUUCAACAACGGAUCUCUUGGCUCUC